CUUCAAACCGAGUAUCCAUUUGCUACCAGUAUGGGGCAAUGGAUGAAUUCUCCAUCUCCAGGGGAAAAUGCUAUUAUCCCCUAUCAAAUAAAUUCCUAAUUUUCCUUUUGGGGCUUCUACUCUGACAUAAAGUUCUUGUUUCGACAAUUCAAAAUUGGGUGAAGGUUUUUUAUUAAUAAAUCUAUACACUAUUUAGUAUGGCAAACCAUGAUUUUAACAAUAUAAUUAGGAAAAUGAUCGAAAAGUUUGGUGAACAACAUCAAGUUCAAGAUAAAAAGGGGAUAGUAAUAGUAAUAUAAGGCAACCUCAAAUUUUAUGCACAUAGAAAUUACUGAUUCUCAGUUCGCGAAGAGUCUUAUCCUCUUGCAAUGCCAAUCUUGAACUGGGGAUCCUCGGUGGUGGAGGCAACCAAUCCUCAUCUUUUCUCUCCUUUCCACCCUUCUCAUCAUUAUCAUCAUCAUCUAAAACAACAACAUCCUUUCGGUUUGGUUCACCUUCCCAUCCUAAAAAUUCAAAAAAAUCAAAAAAAGAAGAAUCUAACGGACCCAAAACUUCCACAAAACGACAAAAAACCCUAAUCUGAACAAGAUGCAACUCAGUGUACGAUCGGCGGUCUUCUUCCUCUUCAUCCCAGGAAAAAUUGGAACCGAAUCCAGAUCGUCAUCAUCGAAGGAGGGGAAAUCCGUGGGCUGGACACGGCUGUAAUCGAAGAGAGGCUCGAGCUCUUUUCCAGGCUCAUCCUGCCGAACGAAUCAAAGGAGAAAGAGAUGGAAAACUGAGGGAGGGGAAAAAACCUAGAAAAUUUAGCCACAAGGGAAGCAGAGAGCACAGUAAUUCGCAAACCACUGGCGACGAAUUGAUAGCGUUCCAAGGGGGAGACGGCUAUUUGGCGUCGAAACGUUCGCUGAACCGAAGCGGUGGUGGCGGCGGGAGGUGGCUGCGCGCUCGCGGCCGACGAUUUGGGGGGAAGAAACAAGGAAUGUUUUCCUAAUUUCAUAUCGAACGUGAGGGAAGUGCAAUGCACUUGCGAUGAUGCAACGAUGCAAGUGACGGAGCAUGAAUCUCAUAAAGAUUCUUCUUUGACCAGGGAGGGACAUGGAUUUACAUUGUGACAUUAAUUUUAGGACCGCCAACCAAGAAGGAAGUCCUGCAUGGUCGUAAGUCA
Molecule: long non-coding RNA, 1165 nt
Filed under: Phoenix dactylifera (date palm)
Lineage: Eukaryota; Viridiplantae; Streptophyta; Magnoliopsida; Arecales; Arecaceae
Description: long non-coding RNA (PDAC_LNC001406)
Source: RNAcentral